CUGGCCUCAAGAAGGGAGGACUGAGAUUGGAGGACUUGUGGCUUCCAGGUUCCUUCCGCAACAGGGGCCCAGCCCGUGACGGGGAUAAAAAGCAAGCAGAGGGGCCGGCCUGAUACUGCAGAGAGCAGCGAUGGCUCCUUGGGUGAGGAUAAAGCAAACAGGCGAGGAGCGGCUGAUCAGGAGAUAAUCUCUCUGAGAAAUGAUCAAGUGCCAGUUGCUUCCGCAGCUGCAGGGCUGCAUCUGGGCCCCAGUGCUGACGUGAGCUCCGCCUCCAGAUCUGCAUUGUCACUGGCUUGUUGGAAAAACAGAUGUUAUUGUCCUCUAUUCCCAUCUCUUUGUCCCUAAUAGGAGGUUAAGUGCAGGAGGGGGAACGGAGAAACGGGACAGAAUCAUGCGUCUCUUUCAGGCUCUUUCCAGAAGAUGCACUUCUGUGGGACUUGGGGUUUUGGAUGGAGUGGAGGCAGGGAGAGACCUCGUCCCCUGCCCUGGGUGUUCUGGGCCAGCCUUGGGGAGGAGCUGCCCCGCUGGCCCCUUGUCCAGGCCAGUGGGUGCUGAUGACUGGUUCUGGGAAGGGUUGCUUUCCUUCGUGCCUACAUCCACCACCUGGACUGCACCCUGAUGUUAGAGGAAGGGAUGAUGGGGACCCCUGGCCUUCUGCUUUGACUCCCAGAAUUUGGGAGGUUGUAUGAGGUCAAGGGCUGAUGAGAUCAAGGUCUUGAGUUCCAUUCUUGUUUGGGAUUCAUCCAUUCACUCAUUCAUUCAUUCAGUGAGUCAGUCAACCAUCUGCUGCUGAGCACAUUCUUGAUGGCUUAACCCUACACCUGACAGCAGCAUGCUGGUUUGCAGAUGAAAACUUUUCACGGGAAGAACAGUCUGUCCUCUUACGUCAGGUCACGUGGCUACGAUUUAAUGGAGCUCAGAGGCUCUCCUGCUCCGGAAUAGCUCUGCAGCAACCUGCCCCAGCACCUGGAAUUCCACCAUCAGUCAGUCCUUUGAAUGAAGGCAUUAUAUUUCCCAAAGGUCCUUGCCAAAAUACGAGCACGUAACUGAGGAGGCCUCGCAGAGGGAAAAGAAAUCUGCCGGUCACCAUGGAGAACAGAGGAGGGGACCCAAAAUGAAUGAUAUACACUAUGGAAGGGAUGCUGUACGACUUCCCAGCCUAGGCCUCAAUAGGCCUUGCAGCUUCUGCUCUCCUCCACCUGGGACGACCCUGAGACUGCCAGGUGAAGGAGUCGGGUCCAGCCCCCUGAAGGGUGAGAAGCGACACGAAGCAAAGAUGAGCCAUCCCAGCUGCGGUCCUCAGACCAUCCAGCUGACAUCCAGCACCAACCACCACACAUGUGAGUGAAGUCAGUUUUAGACUCUCUGGCCAUCCCAGCCACCAGCUGACUGCACACGAGUGAGCCCAGGAGAGACCAGCCCAAGUUGUCCACCCACAGCAUCACGAGCAAAUAAACAGUUGUUAUUCU
This 1469-nucleotide long non-coding RNA is filed under the name Equus caballus (horse). RNAcentral's name for it is "lncRNA (ENSECAG00000045537.1)". Lineage: Eukaryota; Metazoa; Chordata; Mammalia; Perissodactyla; Equidae. The record is from RNAcentral.